Molecule: long non-coding RNA, 172 nt
Organism: Microtus oregoni (creeping vole)
Lineage: Eukaryota; Metazoa; Chordata; Mammalia; Rodentia; Cricetidae
Exons: 3
Source: RefSeq, a predicted model, not a curated record
CACAAUGAGAAGAACUAUCUAAGCUGAUGGGAAAAAAGAGAAAAGGGACAGAGUAAACGGAGACCGUCAAAUCCCCUGGAACUGGAGUUAUACCAGCUGUGGGCCAUCUGAGGCCUCUGUACCGUGUGCAUAUAGUAUCCAUGGAAACCAGAAGAGUACAUCUCAUUCCCUG